RNAcentral lists this RNase P RNA (404 nucleotides) under Oscillospiraceae bacterium. RNAcentral's name for it is "RNase P RNA component class A". It matches the Rfam family "Bacterial RNase P class A". Rfam says of the family: Ribonuclease P (RNase P) is a ubiquitous endoribonuclease, found in archaea, bacteria and eukarya as well as chloroplasts and mitochondria. Its best characterised activity is the generation of mature 5'-ends of tRNAs by cleaving the 5'-leader elements of precursor-tRNAs. The record is from RNAcentral. Lineage: Bacteria; Bacillati; Bacillota; Clostridia; Eubacteriales; Oscillospiraceae.
CAAGUAAACCGGGCAGCCGCCUGUUCGGCGCCAGGCGUUGAAUGGGAGGAAAGUCCGGGCUCCACAGGGCAAGGAUAGCGGGUAACGCCCGCCCACGGCGACGUGCGGACGAGUGCAACAGAAACAGACCGCCGGACGGUCAAUCCGUCCGGUAAGGGUGGAAAGGCGAGGUAAGAGCUCACCGCGCUUCCGUGAAAGCGGGAGCGCCUGUAAACUCUAUUCGGAGCAACACCGACUCGGGGCAACGCCAGGCGGCCGCCUGGCGGCAAGCCGGCCCGGCGGUCCCCGGACGGGUGGCGUUGAGCCGUCUGGCAACAGGCGGCCCAGAUAGAUGGCUGCUCAGCGGCGGCGGCGGGAGACCGCCUCCCCGCGGACAGAACCCGGCUUACAGGUUUGCUUGCAAA